UACGUAGGGGGCAAGCGUUGUCCGGAUUUAUUGGGCGUAAAGAGCGUGUAGGCGGCUGGGUAGGUCCGUUGUGAAAACUCGAGGCUCAACCUCGAGACGCCGAUGGAAACCCUCCAGCUAGAGUCCGGAAGAGGAGAGUGGAAUUCCUGGUGUAGCGGUGGAAUGCGCAGAUAUCAGGAGGAACACCAAUAGCGAAGGCAGCUCGCUGGGACGGUACUGACGCUGAGACGCGAAAGCGUGGGGAGCGAGCAGG
RNAcentral lists this ribosomal RNA (253 nucleotides) under uncultured bacterium. RNAcentral describes it as "partial 16S ribosomal RNA". It matches the Rfam family "Bacterial small subunit ribosomal RNA", at positions 524 to 776 of the family's 1533-position model. The record is from RNAcentral.